AUGCUCAGUUUGGCAGCAUAUACACUAAAACUGGAACAAUAGAGAGAAGAUUGGCAUGGCCCCUGUGCAAGAAUGACAUGCAAAUUCAUGAAGCACUCCAUACUUUU
This is a small nuclear RNA of Nannospalax galili (Upper Galilee mountains blind mole rat), 107 nucleotides long. Lineage: Eukaryota; Metazoa; Chordata; Mammalia; Rodentia; Spalacidae. The record is from Ensembl.